This 327-nucleotide ribosomal RNA is filed under the name Triticum aestivum (bread wheat). RNAcentral describes it as "partial small subunit ribosomal RNA". The record is from RNAcentral. Lineage: Eukaryota; Viridiplantae; Streptophyta; Magnoliopsida; Poales; Poaceae.
AUGUGUUUGCUUUGUCUACACCCGUUUUGUUCACCUACAGCCACCGGAGAGGAGGACAGAGGCGCCGCGGCAGCGAGAAGAUGGAAGGCCGGACCAAGGCCACCCACGCCGGGUCCUUCAAGUGCCGCUUCCAAGUGCGUCUGCGCGCCGGCCAUCGACGUCGGGUCCUUCAAGUGCCGCUUCCACCGCAUCAACUCCUAGGGCCACGGCCACAGCCAGGGCCAGGGAAGCCGCCCUUCUUCGCCCCCUUCACCAGCCACGGCCAACGCGGUGCCGCGGUACCCGGCCUCGCCGUCCUCGUCCUCCGGCACCGUCGCGACCCAGUGA